GGGGAUGCGUCUGAUUAGCUUGUUGGCGGGGUAACGGCCCACCAAGGCUACGAUCAGUAGGGGUUCUGAGAGGAAGGUCCCCCACAUUGGAACUGAGACACGGUCCAAACUCCUACGGGAGGCAGCAGUGAGGAAUAUUGGUCAAUGGACGAGAGUCUGAACCAGCCAAGUAGCGUGCAGGAAGACGGCCCUAUGGGUUGUAAACUGCUUUUAUAAGGGAAUAAAGUGAGUCUCGUGAGACUUUUUGCAUGUACCUUAUGAAUAAGGACCGGCUAAUUCCGUGCCAGCAGCCGCGGUAAUACGGAAGGUCCGGGCGUUAUCCGGAUUUAUUGGGUUUAAAGGGAGCGUAGGCCGGAGAUUAAGCGUGUUGUGAAAUGUAGAUGCUCAACAUCUGCACUGCAGCGCGAACUGGUUUCCUUGAGUACGCACAAAGUGGGCGGAAUUCGUGGUGUAGCGGUGAAAUGCUUAGAUAUCACGAAGAACUCCGAUUGCGAAGGCAGCUCACUGGAGCGCAACUGACGCUGAAGCUCGAAAGUGCGGGUAUCGAACAGGAUUAGAUACCCUGGUAGUCCGCACGGUAAACGAUGGAUGCCCGCUGUUGGUCUGAAUAGGUCAGCGGCCAAGCGAAAGCAUUAAGCAUCCCACCUGGGGAGUACGCCGGCAA
This 664-nucleotide ribosomal RNA is filed under the name uncultured bacterium. RNAcentral describes it as "bacterial SSU rRNA". It matches the Rfam family "Bacterial small subunit ribosomal RNA", at positions 227 to 891 of the family's 1533-position model. The record is from RNAcentral.